UGAGGGCUGGUGCGGCCGGUGCUCCCUCGGCCUGGGCUCGGGGCAGCCCUAGCCCCGACACCC
Molecule: microRNA precursor, 63 nt
Organism: Cavia aperea (Brazilian guinea pig)
Lineage: Eukaryota; Metazoa; Chordata; Mammalia; Rodentia; Caviidae
Source: Ensembl